This 460-nucleotide ribosomal RNA is filed under the name uncultured bacterium. RNAcentral describes it as "partial 16S ribosomal RNA". It matches the Rfam family "Bacterial small subunit ribosomal RNA", at positions 338 to 795 of the family's 1533-position model. The record is from RNAcentral.
CCUACGGGGUGCAGCAGUGAGGAAUAUUGGUCAAUGGACGAGAGUCUGAACCAGCCAAGUAGCGUGAAGGAUGACUGCCCUAUGGGUUGUAAACUUCUUUUAUAUGGGAAUAAAAUGUUCCACGUGUGGGAUUUUGUAUGUACCAUAUGAAUAAGGAUCGACUAACUCCGUGCCAGCAGCCGCGGUAAUACGGAGGAUCCGAGCGUUAUCCGGAUUUAUUGGGUUUAAAGGGAGCGUAGGUGGAUUGUUAAGUCAGUUGUGAAAGUUUGCGGCUCAACCGUAAAAUUGCAGUUGAAACUGGCAGUCUUGAGUACAGUAGAGGUGGGCGGAAUUCGUGGUGUAGCGGUGAAAUGCUUAGAUAUCACGAAGAACUCCGAUUGCGAAGGCAGUUCACUGGACUGCAACUGACACUGAGGCUCGAAAGUGUGGGUAUCAAACAGGAUUAGAUACCCCUGUAGUC